Molecule: transfer RNA, 69 nt
Filed under: Bos taurus (domestic cattle)
Lineage: Eukaryota; Metazoa; Chordata; Mammalia; Artiodactyla; Bovidae
Also listed under: 2 other names
Rfam family: tRNA
About the family: Transfer RNA (tRNA) molecules are approximately 80 nucleotides in length.
Source: Rfam by way of RNAcentral
CCUGAUAGCUCAGUUGGUAAAGAAUCUGCCUGCAAUGCAGAAGACCCAGAUUUGAUUCCUGAAUCAGGA